This 3441-nucleotide small RNA is filed under the name Pan troglodytes (chimpanzee). RNAcentral describes it as "processed transcript". The record is from RNAcentral. Lineage: Eukaryota; Metazoa; Chordata; Mammalia; Primates; Hominidae.
GACACCAGUAGCUCUGAUUAUUUUAAUAUAAAGUAUUUUGGUUUCAAUCGUGCUUUAAUGUCAACAUUUCGAAAUUGAGUAAAAACUUCUUAGGGUUAGAAUAAAAUUUAUAGUGGUAGUUAAUGAGUUCUGAGGGAUUAAGUUUUGCUCAUUUCCUAACCAUGCACCCUCACACAUGCUUCUUAUAAGGUGUAUGAAAUUUUAAGAAUAGUAACUCCAUAUAAUGUUCUUUUCUAGUAAAUUUGGUUUAAAAUAUAGCAUUUAAACAGUCCCCAGUAUUUUGCAUGUUACAUCUCAUCUUUACUCUUUGUCAUGUGGUUAUUCUUUCUUGAUGAAGUCAUUAGAGGACAACAGUGAAACCAUCAAAAAUUCUAUGAUGGAGGAGCCAAACAUCAAUAAGAUAGAAGCAGAUUUGGGAUAUCCUGGAGGUAAAGCAAGAAUUAUUCAUAAGGAAUCUGAUAUCAUUACUGCGUUUGCUGUUAAUAAGGCAAAUAGAAACUGUAUAGCAAUCGCUUCCAGUCAUGAUGUUCAAGAACUGGAUGUUUCUGGAAUUCUGGCCACACAGGUCUACACUUGGGUAGAUGAUGAUAUAGAAGUGGAAACCAAAGGAUCAGAAGAUUUCUUGGUUAUACAUGCUCGUGAUGAUUUAACAGCUGUUCAAGGUACAACUCCAUAUACACAUAGCAAUCCUGGCACUCCAAUCAACAUGCCAUGGCUUGGUAGUACACAGACUGGCAGAGGAGCAUCUGUGAUGAUUAAGAAAGCCAUUAAUAAUGUUAGAAGAAUGACUUCUCAUCCAACUCUUCCUUACUAUCUGACAGGAGCUCAAGAUGGAAGUGUCAGAAUGUUUGAAUGGGGCCAUUCUCAACAAAUAACCUGUUUUCGAUCUGGUGGCAAUUCAAGAGUUACAAGAAUGAGAUUUAACUAUCAGGGAAAUAAGUUUGGAAUAGUUGAUGCUGAUGGAUAUUUAAGUUUGUAUCAAACAAACUGGAAAUGUUGUCCAGUUACUGGAAGCAUGCCUAAGCCAUACCUGAAACGUAUGUUUGUGGGAUACUCUUGUAGCACCUGCCAAUAGUUUAGUCCAUGCAUUUACCUGCCAUGACAGUGGAGCCACAGUUUUAGCAUAUGCUCCAAAACAUCAGCUACUAAUAUCAGGUGGCAGAAAAGGUUUUACAUAUGUAUUUGACCUUUGUCAACGACAACAGAGGCAGCUUUUCCAGAGCCAUGAUUCUCCUGUUAAAGCCGUUGCUGUUGAUCCAACUGAAGAGUACUUUGUUACAGGAUCUGCCGAAGGCAAUAUAAAGAUUUGGAGUCUCUCUACCUUUGGUCUUCUCCAUACUUUUGUCAGUGAACAUGCUCGGCAGUCCAUUUUUAGAAAUAUUGGAACUGGAGUGAUGCAAAUUGAGACAGGGCCCGCAAAUCACAUUUUCUCCUGUGGAGCUGAUGGAACAAUGAAAAUGAGAAUACUGCCAGAUCAGUUUAGCCCUUUAAAUGAAGUGUUGAAAAAUGAUGUGAAAUUUAUGCUAUAACAUUUUUACAAUAAGAUGUACAAUUUAUUACCUAUAUGGAAGUGGCCAACAGAUGUAAUAUACAGUGAUCAUUCUCUAUGCCACAAAUUAGCUAAUGCUUUCUUGUUUUUAUAUUUAUUUUAUGGAGCUUUGCCCUUGAUGCACUGAUGCCUUAAAAAUUAACAAGGUCAUUCAGAAGUAGAUUACAUUCCCUAAAGUAGAAUGUGUAAGUAAUGCUGUAAUAAUACAUAUCAUAGUAUAUUAUAAUCAGUAUGUCAUAGUGUUAAAGGUGUUUUGUUUUCUUAUUGAUACUUUUCCACAGGCAUCUCUGCAUGAAUUUCUUCCACAGUAAAAAUACGUUUUUUGUAAAGGCAAUUGUACAUAAUACUCAUCACUUAAUUCACCACACUCUCACUUCCUUUAUUAGCCUUAUACGUCUCAAACUCUUCUCUUAAUUAAUGAUAGGUAUUUGAGUAAGAAUGAAAAAAAUAAUGAACAUCUUCAUUAAAAUUGUCAUUGAGACGUCAGUGAUAAAUGAGCUAGAUGGCUCAGUAUGUAAGGUUUUCAGUAGUUUACCCUCCGGAACCCAAGUUAUAUGUAUGUAUACGUGUGUGUGUGUGUGUGUGUGUAUCUUACACAUCUUAUUUGAACUUAGUUGUAUAUAUUAGUGAAAACUGGUUUUUCAUGUGUUUUUGUGCCAUAACAACUAUUGCCACCAGAAUAACUUUUUUUUGCAACUGUGCUUUUCAUUUUUAAAAAAUUUUUGAAUUCCCAUCCUAAUUUUCAAAUAAGUUUCAAGGAGACUAUCAGGAUUAUUAUUUUAAAGAUUAGAUUUAGUCAAAUAAGUCUUAGCAGGCAAUAAAGUUUCUGUGGUGGCAUAUAUCAUGUAAGACAAAGUAAGUUUGUGAAUUUGUCAACUUUCGAGCAUCAAACAAAUAUUUUACUUAAAUUUUAUUUUAUCUUAUUUUUAGGUGCUUUUAAUCUCAAAAUUCUGAAAAGCGAAUAGCAGUGUUUUCAGAAACAAAUGUGAAAGCAGUCAAAUUAAGUAGAUACUAUUUAGAAAUGUAAAAUACUCUCCAGAUCUACCAUUAAUAGAAAAUAAACUAAACCUUAUAUUUUAUUUUUGCCAAAAUAUUUUAUUAUAAAAUAUGACCAAAAUAUGUAAAAUGCACAAUGCUUUUAACUUAAAUGUGCUAACCCUGUUUCUGUCUGUUUUGUGCUGUACCUUUUCUGAUUCAGAAUUAUAGAAAACUUGAUAAAUACUUGAUUUUAACCAAUGAGACUACAGGCAGAUGGGACUAAGUGUUUAUGGGACAAUUAUGUACUAUUUAACUUAAAUAUAUUUUGUUUAAUAGGAAAUAUAUAAUAAUAGCAUUUUAUGUAAUAAAAUAUGGGCAACGAUUAUCUUGGAAAUUAAAGAGUCAAAGCAAAGAAAUGAAGGGCUGGUAAAAUGAAUUUUGUAAUAUCCUCAGGAUACUUUUAUCUUAAAAGUAUGUUGUUAAAGAUUUUGUAAAUUGUAUUUCAACAAUUUUAAAUGUGUUGAGCAAGUUGCAGUGCAAACACUGUCAUUAUAUAGAGAGUUUAUAUGCACACAAUAACCUGUACCUAUAAAUUGUGCAAUAACCAUAUGCGACUAUUUUGCCAUGGAGAAAUCUGACAGCAUUGCAAACAAUAGUAUUGUUUGAUGUAGUUAACCUUAAGUUAUUUUUCAGUAAUUUCUUCACAAAUCAAGAUUCAAACAGCUUUAAACACUUCCAAUGAGAUAAAAUAUUUACUAUUAUGCUUAUUAGAACAAAAGGUGUUUAAGGAUGAACUAAAUAUUUUAAUUGAGCAUUUAUAUGGAUAAUCAUACAUUAUGUAAGCCCAUAUGUAUUUACAUCCAGAGUCAUAAUAUUUUAAAUAAACAAUCAUGCAGAAACUUUUUUAGGGGGUA